Molecule: long non-coding RNA, 1345 nt
Organism: Xenopus tropicalis (tropical clawed frog)
Lineage: Eukaryota; Metazoa; Chordata; Amphibia; Anura; Pipidae
Exons: 2
Source: RefSeq, a predicted model, not a curated record
GAACAUCGCCUCGGUUCGGGUGAGGCUGGUGCAGAAAUGGUGAAACAGCACCCCUUCUUCAAAGUAGGUUUCUAUUCUAUUCCUUUCAAUUUACAAACAGAAAAGCACUAAUGAAUAUUGCCGUAGCCUCGUAAUGCAUUAUAUAAUUUCUUGUACCAGCAAUUCUAGUUUUUGGACCAGAUACUCAUCAUUAAAUAUUACCUUUUCAUUUAACUUUCAGGAUAUGGACUGGGACCAUCUAGUACACCGAAGCAUAAGGCCUCCAUUUGAACUGGACAACCAAGACCACCUGGAGAGCCAAGAGAACCCUGAAUGCCAGGCUCCGGCACUGACACCGCCUGCUGUAAGGAUUCCAUCAGAGCUGCAAGAGGCAUUCAGAGGAUUCUCAAUGAACAUCAAAUAAGUAGACGGAAUGGAUGGGGAGGGUGGAGGGCCAGUCCAUAUCCAUAUAAGAAGUCUAUUCAUAUAAAGUGAUGAUCAGGUGACCCACCUUAAUAAGUUCUGACUGAGUAGGCUAAUGUAGGAAUAGUCUGCUCAUGGUUUGUAACAUAUUCCAAAACUUCACCUGUAAACAGGCAAGUAAGAUCUAGUAGGUGAGAAACAAACUGUAUUUUUAUAGCAACAGCUGACACUGUAACAUCCUGCCUGGUUUUAAAACAGCACCCUGCAGGUUAUUAUGCAGUCUUUUAUAACUCUGCUCUAUUUGAACAGAUAACUAAGUGUUUGGUUCAGUUUGCCCCACAAUGCAUUCUGUAAUUACUGACUUCUUCUCUACAAUCGACAUUUGGCACCCUUGCCUGCCCCAUGGGAGUCUCUGGAUUCUCAUAUGGUAAGACCUGUUAGCACCCGAGCAGCUGAGAUUUAGGCCCAAAGCCAAAGGUGGCUGUUAUAGAAGAGCAGGCCAAGACUCCCUGUGGUUUGGGAUUCCCUUAAGUGACAAACAGGAAAGUAAAACCUGGCACCAAGUUAGGAAACAAACCAAUAGUUGGCACUACCUCACAUUGUUUGUAUUUGCUUUCUGGUAAGGUUGUAGUUGCCACCUUGGGAGAUCCAGAGAAGAAGAUAUUGAAGAUAUUAAAGAUGGUUACCAUGUUUAUCCACGCCAAGAUAUGAGACAGCGUGGCGACAGUCAAAGGAACUCUUAUUCUGUAAUGAAGAUCAUGGAUCAUAUACUGAACAUUGUACCAAACACUCACUGGAGUCCAUGUGAAGAAAGAAGCCUGUACCCCACCUGCCUAGUGCCACCCACUUUUCCUACUCCAAUAGGCACUAUUUCAUAUAUAACUUGUUUGUUCUGCUCACAUUAUGUAUAUAAUUAUACAAAUAAAAAUAUUGCUUCUAAGAA